GCCGGGCGCGGUGGCUCGCGCCUGUAAUCCCAGCAUUUUGGGAGGCUGAGGCAGGCGGAUCACUUGAGGUCAGGAGUUUAAGACCAGCCUGGCCAAUAUGGUGAAACCCCGUCUCUA
Macaca fascicularis (crab-eating macaque) is the source of this 117-nucleotide unclassified non-coding RNA. It matches the Rfam family "Metazoan signal recognition particle RNA". Rfam says of the family: The signal recognition particle (SRP) is a universally conserved ribonucleoprotein. It is involved in the co-translational targeting of proteins to membranes. Lineage: Eukaryota; Metazoa; Chordata; Mammalia; Primates; Cercopithecidae. The record is from Ensembl.